GGAAAUGGGGACAGGACAACUGGCCUGCAGGGAUGCUGGGGGAUCACCAAGGUGACUAAGUGCCCAGCAUACUUUCUGGCACAGACAAGGUGCUCAGGAGGCACCAGGUGCCAUGUGCCUGUAGAUGCCAUGGGCUAGCUCAGCCACCGGUGUCCGGACAGUGUCUGUGGCCCCCAGAGCUGCCUGGCAGUAGGCAGGCAGAGCCAGGUGCACCCCCACCCCAGGGGACUGGCUCCUGGCCUCUGCCUCCCUUCCUCCUGAUAUACAGCGGGCAUUAGGCCGCCCAAAGGGGAUCCUGCAUCCUUAGGAAGAAAUAUGUCCUCAUUUUUCUUAAACACCGUUUCCACUGAGUGAAAUGUUUAGAAGGGACGCGCAGGGAGAACUUUAUUUCCUACCAGGGAGUUCAGAGCCACCAAGCAGAGCCCAUAAAGCACCCGGAGCCUGGUAGCUGACAGGCAGCCCAGCCCUGAAAUACAUUACUCACGGUGGGGAGGGGCUGCCAGGCCUGCCCAGACCCCUGGGACUGCCCCUGCCCUGGCAAGACAAGCAACUUCAAGACCCAGGGCCAUGGGCAGUGGGCACCAUGCCUCUUCUUCCCUUGAGCCCAGAUUGCCUGCAGGAGAGGGCCUGGCCUGACCAGGUGCCGAAGGAGUAGUUCUUCCAGCUUCCCACAGGCCUUUACCUCCCAGGUCAGGAAGACGUGGGGACAAGGGGCCCAGGUGCAGCUACAGGCACCCCCCUUUCUCACCCAGAACUGGCAGGAGCCCUGGCCUUCCCUAGCCUGUGCAGGGAGUGAUGAGAUUCAUGCCAUAACGGGUCCCUUCUCCCAAGGCCCUCCCUUCAUUCGAUUUCUGAAGCUGGCUGAUUUGAAUAUUUAUAAAUAUCAGUAAAUUAUUUAUUGUAGCAAUCUGCUGCACCAUUUUACCCAUCGCAGUUAACACUUUAGGGGGCUCUGUGUUAUGGGAACAGGAAGUGGGGGUGUGGAGGAGAUGGGGCAAGGGAGGGAAGGAGCCCCUGCAGGGAGGCUUGGGACUUCCCAGAGCUUGCCUCGGAGCCUUCAUGGGGAUGAGGCUGAGCCUCAGCUCCAGGUAUCUACAGCCAGGAUUAGCUUCCUCCUCUGUCAAAUGGGUUGGCACAGGGCUCAACUGGAUCAUUUUUGAAGCUUUGGUGAGAUUGUGAUGGACAGUCAGUUUUUGCUUCUCUCUCCUGCACCUUAGUUGGGUCUGCUCAGCUCAGAGACUGAUGGGUAGUGCUUGUUGAGUUUGGAGGCCUGUAGGAAAGCCGAGGGGGCCAUUUGCUGGCGCAAGGGAGAGGGCUGCAAGGAUGGCCCCAGGCCUCCUGCCUCUCCUUUCCCUCUUCCCUCUUCUGGGCCAGGUGAGAAUUCCUUGUCUUGGAAUCUUGGGCCAGACAUGGCACCACAUCUGCCUGUCAUUCUCCUCCUGGGCUCAGCUGUCUUUUCCCAGGUCCUUCCUUGCCAGGCCCUGUGCUUGGCCCAAGGAGGCGCCUUCUCACCUUGUAGCCCGGCAGCCCUUCUGUGAGAGAGAGCUUGCCAGGGCCGGUAGCUCCCAGGGGUAGAGCCAGGCUAUAUGCUCCUGACUCUGACCCAGGGGCCAGACUGUAACCUGCUGUGCCUUCUGGGGUUCAGAGCCACUGGGGCCAGGAGCAGAGUUGGUGCUUUGCUGGGCCCACCUCAGCUGCCCCUCCUGCCUGCCCCCCAGUCUGCUGGUCCCUGGGGGAGCAGAACAGGAGUCCUCUUGCCUUCCCACCCUCCUGCCCAAGCCUGCCUCCUGGGCAGUAUUGUUCCCAGAGGAAGUGUCCAGUGUAAAUAGAGCAGCGGGCAGGCUGGUGGCGGGAAGGAGAUGAAAGGGGCAGUGACAGGGCCGG
This 1884-nucleotide long non-coding RNA is filed under the name Marmota monax (woodchuck). The record is from RNAcentral. Lineage: Eukaryota; Metazoa; Chordata; Mammalia; Rodentia; Sciuridae.